This 658-nucleotide long non-coding RNA is filed under the name Homo sapiens (human). Its description in RNAcentral is "HSALNT0062688". Lineage: Eukaryota; Metazoa; Chordata; Mammalia; Primates; Hominidae. The record is from RNAcentral.
UGGGGAACUGUAUUUUUAAUAACAACAACAUUGGUUGCCCUUCUGAAAAAAGAAAACGAAGUAUCAGUAGUAAAAGAAGAAACACAAGGGAUCACAGAUACUUACAAGCUGCUUUUUGCAAUUAUAAAAAUGCCAGCAGUUCUGACAUUUUGCCUUCUGAUUCUAACUGCAAAGAUUAUUGCUUGGGUUAGAAUAUGCCCUACUGGUUUGGUGGACUCCUAAAGUAGAACAUCAAGGGGGAUUCCCUAUAUAUUACUAUAUCGUAGUCCUGCUGAGUUAUGCUUUACAUCAGGUUACAGUGUACAGCAUGUAUGUUUCUAUAAUGGCUUUCAAUGCAAAGGUUAGUGAUCCACUUAUUGGAGGAACAUACAUGACCCUUUUAAAUACCGUGUCCAAUCUGGGAGGAAACUGGCCUUCUACAGUAGCUCUUUGGCUUGUAGAUCCCCUCACAGUAAAAGAGUGUGUAGGAGCAUCAAACCAGAAUUGUCGAACACCUGAUGCUGUUGAGCUUUGCAAAAAACUGGGUGGCUCAUGUGUUACAGCCCUGGAUGGUUAUUAUGUGGAGUCCAUUAUUUGUGUUUUCAUUGGAUUUGGUUGGUGGUUCUUUCUUGGUCCAAAAUUUAAAAAGUUACAGGAUGAAGGAUCAUCUUCGUGGAAA